This 69-nucleotide transfer RNA is filed under the name Marmota monax (woodchuck). Its description in RNAcentral is "tRNA.Ala". Lineage: Eukaryota; Metazoa; Chordata; Mammalia; Rodentia; Sciuridae. The record is from RNAcentral.
GGAUUGUGGCUCAAGCGGUAGCACGCUCGCCUGGCAUGCGCGGGGUACUGGGUUCAAUCCUCAGCACCA